AGCGAACGCUGGCGGCAGGCCUAACACAUGCAAGUCGAACGGAUCCUUCGGGAUUAGUGGCGGACGGGUGAGUAACACGUGGGAACGUGCCCUUUGGUUCGGAACAACUCAGGGAAACUUGAGCUAAUACCGGAUGUGCCCUUCGGGGGAAAGAUUUAUCGCCAUUGGAGCGGCCCGCGUCUGAUUAGCUAGUUGGUGAGGUAACGGCCCACCAAGGCGACGAUCAGUAGCUGGUCUGAGAGGAUGAUCAGCCACACUGGGACUGAGACACGGCCCAGACUCCUACGGGAGGCAGCAGUGGGGAAUCUUGCGCAAUGGGCGAAAGCCUGACGCAGCCAUGCCGCGUGAAUGAUGAAGGUCUUAGGAUUGUAAAAUUCUUUCAGCGGGGACGAUAAUAACGGUACCCGCAGAAGAAGCUCCGGCUAACUUCGUG
RNAcentral lists this ribosomal RNA (433 nucleotides) under uncultured bacterium. Its description in RNAcentral is "partial 16S ribosomal RNA". It matches the Rfam family "Bacterial small subunit ribosomal RNA", at positions 29 to 507 of the family's 1533-position model. The record is from RNAcentral.